CAAAUUAUAGCUUAAAAAUUAAGUAUUUCAUUUACAUUGAAAAGAAAUUAUUAAAUUAAUUAAUUUGA
RNAcentral lists this transfer RNA (68 nucleotides) under Zinaida pellucida. RNAcentral's name for it is "tRNA-Val". It matches the Rfam family "tRNA". Rfam says of the family: Transfer RNA (tRNA) molecules are approximately 80 nucleotides in length. Their secondary structure includes four short double-helical elements and three loops (D, anti-codon, and T loops). Lineage: Eukaryota; Metazoa; Arthropoda; Insecta; Lepidoptera; Hesperiidae. The record is from RNAcentral.